CCUACGGGUGGCAGCAGUGGGGAAUUUUGCGCAAUGGGGGAAACCCUGACGCAGCAACGCCGCGUGCGGGACGAAGGCCCUCGGGCUGUAAACCGCUUUCAGCAGGGAAGACGUCGACGGUACCUGCAGGAGAAGCUCCGGCUAACUACGUGCCAGCAGCCGCGGUAAUACGUAGGGGGCGAACGUUAUCCGGAUUCAUUGGGGGAAAAGCGCGCGUUGGCGGCCGCCUAAGCGGAACUUUUAACCCCGGGGGUCAACCCCGGGCCGGGUUCCGGACUGGGCGGCUAGAGUGCGGUAGAGGAGAGCGGAAUUCCCGGUGUAGCGGUGGAAUGCGCAGAUAUCGGGAAGAACACCGAUGGCGAAGGCGACUCUCUGGGCCGUCACUGACGCUGAGGCGCGAAAGCUGGGGGAGCGAACAGGAUUAGAUACCCUAGUAGUC
Molecule: ribosomal RNA, 439 nt
Filed under: uncultured bacterium
Lineage: Bacteria
Description: partial 16S ribosomal RNA
Rfam family: Bacterial small subunit ribosomal RNA
Source: RNAcentral